GAUGAAGAACGUAGCGAAAUGCGAUACUUGGUGUGAAUUGCAGAAUCCCGCGAAUCAUCGAGUUUUUGAACGCAAGUUGCGCCCGAAGCCAUUCGGCCGAGGGCACGUCUGCCUGGGUGUCACGCAUCGUUGCCCCCCCAAACUCCGGUUCGGGCGGGGCGGAAGUUGGCCUCCCGUGCGUGCCUGCGCGCGCGGUUAGCCCAAAAGCGAGUCCUCGGCGACGAGCGCCACGACAAUCGGUGGUUUUUUUACCCUCGUUCCUCGUCGUGCGUGUCCCGUCGCCCGAACGCGCUCUUGUGACCCUCCCGCGUCGCCUCGGCGGCGCUCCCAACGCGACCCCAGGUCAGGCGGGACUACCCGCUGAGUUUAAGCAUAUCAAAGCGGAGGA
Molecule: unclassified non-coding RNA, 388 nt
Filed under: soil metagenome
Description: partial contains 5.8S ribosomal RNA, internal transcribed spacer 2, and large subunit ribosomal RNA
Rfam family: 5.8S ribosomal RNA (bases 1-122)
Source: RNAcentral